Polypterus senegalus (gray bichir) is the source of this 223-nucleotide long non-coding RNA. RefSeq lists it as uncharacterized. NCBI's taxonomy places the organism in Eukaryota, Metazoa, Chordata, Cladistia, Polypteriformes, Polypteridae. The record is from RefSeq and is a predicted model, not a curated record. The transcript has 3 exons.
UUGUCUGUUUCUUUUUAGUGAUGUUGCAGUAGAGCUUCCAUUUACACUGAUGCAUCCCAAACCUGUUGAAGAAUCGCUGUUCAGAGAAGCUCCUGAGAAUGACACACCUAUUGACACAAAUUUAAUAGAGUUUGACACCAAUGAUGAUGACAUUGUUUUUGAAGACUUUGCAAGGCAGAGGCUACAGGGAAUAAAGGAUGACAAAGAGGAGGAAGAAGAAGGA